This 20-nucleotide microRNA is filed under the name Ciona intestinalis (vase tunicate). Its description in RNAcentral is "cin-miR-4197-5p". Lineage: Eukaryota; Metazoa; Chordata; Ascidiacea; Phlebobranchia; Cionidae. The record is from miRBase by way of RNAcentral.
CACGGUUCAGCUGCAUCAGG